AUGGAGAAGAUGAUGCAGGAACUAGGGCUGAAGGAGGAGGAUCUUGAUGAUGUGAUCUUUGACGAGGGAGAGGCUACGCAGGCGGAACCUAGAUGGACUGCGCUGGCCCGGGUCAACACCAACAAAACCUAUAGCCAGACAUGGUUCUACAGAAACAUGCGAUCUGCGUGGGAUGUAGCACAGCAGGUGAAAUUCAAGCCUCUCGAGGAUAACCUCUAUACGGUUCAGUUCGCGUGCCUUGGGGAUUGGGAG
Molecule: ribosomal RNA, 252 nt
Filed under: Triticum aestivum (bread wheat)
Lineage: Eukaryota; Viridiplantae; Streptophyta; Magnoliopsida; Poales; Poaceae
Description: partial small subunit ribosomal RNA
Source: RNAcentral